RNAcentral lists this ribosomal RNA (495 nucleotides) under uncultured bacterium. Its description in RNAcentral is "partial 16S ribosomal RNA". It matches the Rfam family "Bacterial small subunit ribosomal RNA", at positions 28 to 505 of the family's 1533-position model. The record is from RNAcentral.
GAUGAACGCUGGCGGCGUGCCUAAUACAUGCAAGUCGAGCGAACGGACGAGAAGCUUGCUUCUCUGAUGUUAGCGGCGGACGGGUGAGUAACACGUGGAUAACCUACCUAUAAGACUGGGAUAACUUCGGGAAACCGUAGCUAAUACCGGAUAAUAUUUUGAACCGCAUGGUUCAAAAGUGAAAGACGGUCUUGCUGUCACUUAUAGAUGGAUCCGCGCUGCAUUAGCUAGUUGGUAAGGUAACGGCUUACCAAGGCAACGAUGCAUAGCCGACCUGAGAGGGUGAUCGGCCACACUGGAACUGAGACACGGUCCAGACUCCUACGGGAGGCAGCAGUAGGGAAUCUUCCGCGAUGGGCGAAAGCCUGACGGAGCAACGCCGCGUGAGUGAUGAAGGUCUUCGGAUCGUAAAACUCUGUUAUUAGGGAAGAACAUAUGUGUAAGUAACUGUGCACAUCUUGACGGUACCUAAUCAGAAAGCCACGGCUAACUACG